Myotis lucifugus (little brown bat) is the source of this 78-nucleotide non-coding RNA. The record is from Rfam. NCBI's taxonomy places the organism in Eukaryota, Metazoa, Chordata, Mammalia, Chiroptera, Vespertilionidae.
AGUGGGGGGAGGGGGUUGGUCCCUCAGCCUGGAUUGCAAGAGGGUGUAGGCCAGGCCAAGGGAUCCCAUCGGUGCAGG